CCCGCUGAACUUAAGCAUAUCAAUAAGCGGAGGAAAAGAAACUAACAAGGAUUCCCCUAGUAACUGCGAGUGAAGAGGGAAAAGCUCAAAUUUAAAAUCUGGCGUGCCUCUGGUCGUCCGAGUUGUAGUCUGGAGAAGCGUUUUCCGUGUUGGACCGUGUACAAGUCCCUUGGAACAGGGCGUCAUAGAGGGUGAGAAUCCCGUCUUUGACACGGACUACCAAUGCUCUGUGAUGCGCUCUCAAAGAGUCGAGUUGUUUGGGAAUGCAGCUCAAAAUGGGUGGUAAAUUCCAUCUAAAGCUAAAUAUAGGCGAGAGACCGAUAGCGAACAAGUACCGUGAGGGAAAGAUGAAAAGCACUUUGGAAAGAGAGUUAAACAGUACGUGAAAUUGCUGAAAGGGAAACGCUUGAAGUCAGUCACGUCUGCCAGGACUCAGCCUCGCUUCUGCUUGGUGUACUUUCUGGUUUGAUGGGCCAACAUCAAUUUUGACCGUUGGAGAAAGGCUUUGGGAAUGUGGCACCUUUGGGUGUGUUAUAGCCCUUUGCUGUAUACAACGGUUGGGAUUGAGGACCGCAGCACGCCUUUACGGCCGGGGUUCGCCCACGUACGUGCUUAGGAUGUUGGCAUAAUGGCUUUAAGCGACCCGUCUUGAAACACGG
This 659-nucleotide ribosomal RNA is filed under the name uncultured fungus. RNAcentral describes it as "eukaryotic LSU rRNA". It matches the Rfam family "Eukaryotic large subunit ribosomal RNA", at positions 24 to 664 of the family's 3401-position model. The record is from RNAcentral. Lineage: Eukaryota; Fungi.